Molecule: ribosomal RNA, 403 nt
Filed under: uncultured bacterium
Lineage: Bacteria
Description: partial 16S ribosomal RNA
Rfam family: Bacterial small subunit ribosomal RNA
Source: RNAcentral
AUUGAACGCUGGCGGCAGGCCUAACACAUGCAAGUCGAGCGAGCGGCGGAAGGGUGAGUCCUGUAUGGGGACUGCCCGAUAGAGGGGGAUAACUACUGGAAACGGUGGCUACUCCCGUAUACUGUCGGAUAACCCAUAUGGGAUUAGCUAGUAGGUAAGGUAAUGGCUUACCUAGGCGACGAUCCCUACCUGGUCGGAGAGGAUGAUCAGCCACACUGGGACUGAGACACGGCCCAGACUCCUACGGAGGCAGCAGUGGGGAAUAUUGGACAAUGGGCGCAAGCCUGAUGCAGCCAUGCCGCGUGUAUGAAGAAGGCCCUAGGGUUGUAAAGUACUUUCAGUCGGGAGGCGUUACCAACAGAAGAAGCACCGGCUAACUCCGUGCCAGCAGCCGCGGUAAUUC